This 493-nucleotide ribosomal RNA is filed under the name uncultured bacterium. RNAcentral describes it as "bacterial SSU rRNA". It matches the Rfam family "Bacterial small subunit ribosomal RNA", at positions 28 to 521 of the family's 1533-position model. The record is from RNAcentral.
GACGAACGCUGGCGGCAUGCCUAACACAUGCAAGUCGAACGGAACUUGUUGAAAGAAGUUUUCGGAUGGAUUUUGAUAAGUUUAGUGGCGGACGGGUGAGUAACGCGUGAGCAACCUGCCUUUCAGAGGGGGACAACAGUUGGAAACGACUGCUAAUACCGCAUAAGCGCACGGUGCUGCAUGGCACGGUGUGAAAAGAUUUAUCGGCAUACGAUGGACCCGCGUCUGAUUAGCUAGUUGGUGAGGUAACGGCCCACCAAGGCGACGAUCAGUAGCCGGCCUGAGAGGGUGAACGGCCACAUUGGGACUGAGACACGGCCCAAACUCCUACGGGAGGCAGCAGUGGGGAAUAUUGGACAAUGGGGGGCAACCCUGAUCCAGCGACGCCGCGUGAGUGAAGAAGUAUUUCGGUAUGUAAAGCUCUAUCAGCAGGGAAGAAAAUGACGGUACCUGACUAAGAAGCUCCGGCUAAAUACGUGCCAGCAGCCGCGGU